UAGACCAUCUGUCUAUGGUUGCCUUGCCUCAAUCAUAAUUCAUAUAACCAAUCCCUCUUCAUCAUGCUUUUCGGCGCAAGUCGCUAUUUUUAUCACGGUCUUCACUUCAAGACAAUCCUGUAUCACUGGUUAACUGAUCAUACCCUCAGGUAGAUCGGCUAAAGACCAAGACGCGGAGAUCUUUUUUUCAUUACAAGUGCUUAUUUGUUGCCGGAACUGUGGUUAUGAAUCUGCAUUUCGGGGGAAUAAAGUGUAGCGGUAACCAUCACAUUCUGAACACGGAAAGGAGCUCUACGGAGAGGUGCGCUCCACCUCCGGCAGGGAGCUCUCAAUGCAGACUGUGGAGGGCAUGCUGUCCCAGGUGGCAUUGGGCCAGCAGGUCCUGUCGGGUCUGCUGGAGAGUCGGAUCCCGGUGCUGGGCAACAUCAUCUCAGGGGGCGUCUCCUUCAUGGCUUCGUACAGCCUACUGAAGUCUGCCAUCAAGGACCUGCGUGAGGACUCCGAGAGAGUGAUGGACAGAGCUCUGGAUGGGGCAGACGACGCCCGAGAGGACAUUCCGGAUCCAGGAUAUUUUUAUGCGGACUAAGGGAGCCAAAUGUGACCCCGGGGAUUUGGCUGGGUGAUGCUGGGAGGGGAAACCUACAGAGGACUAUGUAUUAAAACUGCAAAUGGAUUGCAGAUUGAAUUAGCCCUGCACAUUGCACACAUAGCACUAUACAAGUACAAUAGUGCUAAGACAAGGCUGCCCAACUGAAACUGAACUGUUUUUCCUGACUUUUUCUUUACAGACAAUUUACAUCAUACAAAAACAGAGACAAGGACACAACAACAUAGUCUCCAAAAGCCAGAGAAAAGAGCUGCAUAUGAGGAACCUGAGCUUGCCAUCCAGACCACCUGCGACAGCGUCAUCCUCAUCCUCUCCACCCUGGGCUUCCCUCAGCCCACUGUGCUGUGGAGAACCAAGACAGGAAGUGACAUCACCAACUGGAGCAACACCACUAUGGUCCUGAAAGAAGGGGGAGAACAUUAUGAGGUAGUGAGCGAGAUGGUGCUGAAGCAGAGUGACCCACACAAUUGGACUGUCACAUUUGAGAUGAGGCUGGAGCUCCUCAACCAGAGCUUCUCCCGCUCGGUCAGCCUCCGCCCACUCCCAGGUAGGGGGCAGAUAGUGCACAUACUGAGCAUAGGGUCACCCACACAAAUUCAAUGAAAACAUCUUUAAAAAUUCAAGAAUUCUUAUCUCACUCAAACACAACCACCAGCAAAACUCUAUCUGCAGCACUUUUUGCACAUACCGUUUUCAAAACUUAACACAAUUUGAUUUAUAUAUUUCUAUGUUUCAAAAGAUAUUUUUUGUUGCAAAUCAUCAACAUUUUUUGGGCAUAAAUUCAAGUCAAGAACUGUUUUUGCCGAAGUGCAAUGUAUUGAAAAUUCUCCAGUUUUGUUGUGCAGGCAAAAAAAUGCUGUGUUGUUUUAUGCACGCCAAAGAAAUUAUACACUGUUACAAACAAAAUGCCAUUAGCUAAAAUGCCUUUUAAUCAUCAGUUCAAUAACAUGCCCGGAGUCGAUUCUUUGAUGAGCUGAAGUUGAACUGAAUUUUCUUUCACACGGAUGGGGGUAACGCAUUUUAGGUGCAACUACGUUACAAAUACUGGUCCGAGAGGGUGGUACAUGGGUUCCAUGGGUUUUUCGAGAGAGCCUAUACCAAACAUAGAUACUAGAAUUUUUAUCCAUCUAUCUAUACAAAUAGAAAAUGAGGCUUAAGGGGUUAAUUGUCACGUUUCAGGUCUGUCUUGCCUUGUUUUAUGUUUAAUCAUUUUGUCUUAGUCACGUAUUGUCCUAUCAUGUAUUAUGUUAGUCUAGAUUCGUCAUGUUGUUUAGUUUAUUUCUUGUUCCGAUAAAUUGUCUUGUCAUGUCUAGUUAUGUUUUCGUUACGAUUAUUUUUACCUUGUUAUGUUGAGUGGUUAUCGUCUUAGUUCGUUUAAUGUUAUGUUUUGAUUUAUGUUUAUCGCUACGCGAACUGGUUGUUGUUUAAACAUACACCCUGAUACACAUUGAUACACACGUCUUUCCGCAAACCUUGCAUUCCGGCUUUCUCUCUCUCCCUUUCUGUCACUCACACCCUAAUUGUUUCGUUUGUCUAUUUACUAAAAUCUACUAAUGCUAGAUCAGCAUUGGGUAAUGCUAACAUACUAAUCAGGUGUUUAUGUUUCCUUACGUUUCUCGUGCAUGUCAUUUACUAAUUUACUAAUGCUAGGGCAGGAUAGGUUUAUUACUAACGAUUACUAAUUACCUUGUUAAACUUGUCAUCCAUCGCACCUGUUUUCCAUUUCCUUGCUGCUCUCUAACCUGUCUACACCUGUCUACACCCGCAUUUAUAGCCCAGUCGCACUUCGGUUCUUUGCAAAAUUGUCUGCCUCUUGUACGUCAAGGCAACGUUUGAGCAUUAUAGCCCAUUCAUUUCACGUUAAGAUCAAGCAUGUUUUUCGAUCACUGUUUAUUGAUUUCGGUUUCGUUGACCAUCGCUUGUGUUUGACUACGUCCUCGCCUACUGCUUUUGUACCUUUGCCUCGCUGUUUUGUUUAUGGUUUCGACUUCCGCAUCGCCCUCGACUACGACCCUGCCUGCCGCCCGCCCGUACUUCUGCCCCGCUGACAGCUCUCCUGCUACCGGACCUCCCUGCACGUCUACCGACU
Conger conger (European conger) is the source of this 2696-nucleotide long non-coding RNA. RefSeq lists it as uncharacterized. The record is from RefSeq and is a predicted model, not a curated record. NCBI's taxonomy places the organism in Eukaryota, Metazoa, Chordata, Actinopteri, Anguilliformes, Congridae. The transcript has 4 exons.